This 77-nucleotide transfer RNA is filed under the name Candidatus Bipolaricaulota bacterium. Its description in RNAcentral is "tRNA-Arg". It matches the Rfam family "tRNA". From Rfam's summary of the family: Transfer RNA (tRNA) molecules are approximately 80 nucleotides in length. Their secondary structure includes four short double-helical elements and three loops (D, anti-codon, and T loops). Further hydrogen bonds mediate the characteristic L-shaped molecular structure. tRNAs have two regions of fundamental functional importance: the anti-codon, which is responsible for specific mRNA codon recognition, and the 3' end, to which the tRNAs corresponding amino acid is attached (by aminoacyl-tRNA synthetases). tRNAs cope with the degeneracy of the genetic code in two manners: having more than one tRNA (with a specific anti-codon) for a particular amino acid; and 'wobble' base-pairing, i.e. permitting non-standard base-pairing at the 3rd anti-codon position. The record is from RNAcentral. Lineage: Bacteria; Candidatus Bipolaricaulota. RNAcentral also lists the same sequence under 1 other name.
GCGCCCGUAGCUCAGUUGGACAGAGCGACGGAUUCCGGAUCCGUAGGCCGGGGGUUCAAGUCCUCCCGGGCGUACCA